UGAAGUAACGUACUACGGGCUCCACAGUCCAGGCUCCAUGUUUUACCUGUGAGGCGCGUGUCAUCAUCCCCAUUUUACAGAUGAGAAAGCGGACGCUUAACGAGUGUCUUCCAGCAGCCUGGUGUUAUACCAGAGCACCGAAUCCACCAAUGGCCACAGCCACCUGCUGCCACCCAACCACAGUGUCAUCGAGACCUUCAUCUCCACGCAGAUGGCCUCUUCCUCCCAGUAACCAAGGCUACCGCCUCCCAGGGGCUGGGACCUGAUGCCUGCACGGCCCGCUUGGGGGGUGACCAGAACAUCUGAACCUGCAAAACCCUUUGCUGCCACGGAGCUGCUGUCCUUCUCUGGAAAACUGUACCUCAGUCCCCACCUUGCUCUGCCAGUGUCAGAGAGGGAGGGUGCUGAGGUGCCCCAACCCGAGGCGGGCUGCUUUGGUGCACAAAGGCGGACUGUGGAGAGCUGGGAAGCACAGCCUGUUCCUGGCAGGACUCAGGAGGGACUGUCCCUGCUGCUCAGGGUAAAUCCUGUCACUUGGAACAGAAGGGGACAGGCUUUGGAUGCUGGUACCCCCGGCCUGGGCCUAUGGAGAGCCCCAGCACCCUAAAGGGAACUCUGGCAGCCACACGUCUCAGGCCACUAGCCUGUGUAGCUGAGUCACUGAGCAACGAGAGAGGCCCUGGAUCAAUGUGGCCCCAUUCUGUCACCUAUGCCCUGUCCAGGCCACUCCAUCCUGCCCCCUUCCUAUUGACCCACAUGCCCAUUUGUACCCACCUGUCCCCCACGCACAUAAGCAUUCCAUGAGGGGCUCCUCUGUCCCAGGGCCUGGGGCACAGAUGCCCAAGCCCUGGGGGAGCUCAAGCUAACAGCGAAGGCAUCCGGGCUCUCCAGCUUCCCACAUCCUGAGCCAUCCCUCUCUCCAGACCCCGUGACCUCCAGUUUUCUGGGACAUUCGUUCCCCAGAGCAUCAUGCCUUCCGAUGCCAGCCUGGCACCUUGCCUCUACCGAAAAGCCCCCCUCAAGGCUAGUUAGUAAGUUGUCCUUGUUCCUGGAAGGAGCCUUGCAACUCUGCACUUGGUGCUAAGUCCUGGGAUUGCAGCUCCUCUGGCCUCUGGGGCCCUGUAGACCCUUCCCUGGUUUUGGGGAGAAGCUGCUGAGCUCAGAAGGCAGCAAGGUCUGAGCAGUAGGCAGAGCGGAGGUGCCCAAAGGGAGAAGAGGAAGGCG
Molecule: long non-coding RNA, 1224 nt
Organism: Hipposideros armiger (great roundleaf bat)
Lineage: Eukaryota; Metazoa; Chordata; Mammalia; Chiroptera; Hipposideridae
Exons: 2
Source: RefSeq, a predicted model, not a curated record